This 483-nucleotide ribosomal RNA is filed under the name uncultured bacterium. Its description in RNAcentral is "partial 16S ribosomal RNA". It matches the Rfam family "Bacterial small subunit ribosomal RNA", at positions 28 to 507 of the family's 1533-position model. The record is from RNAcentral.
GUUGAACGCUGGCGGCAGGCCUAACACAUGCAAGUCGAGCGGAUGAAGCGAGCUUGCUCCUGGCUUCAGUGGCGGACGGGUGAGUAAUGCCUAGGAAUCUGCCUGGUAGUAGGGAUAACGUCCGGAAACGGGCGCUAAUACCGCAUACGUCCGGAGGGAGGCAGUGGGGGAUCUUCUGACCUCCCGCUAUCAGUUGAGCCUAGGUCGGGUUAGCUAGUUGGUGGGGUAAAGGCCUACCAAGGCGACGAUCCGAAACUGGUCUGCGAGGAUGAUCAGUGACACUGGAACUGCGCCACGGUCCAGACUCCUAAGGGACGGAGCAGUAGGGAAGAUUGGACAAUGGGCGAAAACCUGAUCCAUCCAUGCCGCGUGUGUGAAAGAGGUCUUCGGAUUGUAAAGCACUUUAAGUUGGGAGGAAGGGCAGUAAGUUAAUACCUAGCUGUUUUGACGUUACCAACAAAAUAAGCACCGGCUAACUUCGUG